RNAcentral lists this ribosomal RNA (443 nucleotides) under uncultured prokaryote. Its description in RNAcentral is "bacterial SSU rRNA". It matches the Rfam family "Bacterial small subunit ribosomal RNA", at positions 355 to 796 of the family's 1533-position model. The record is from RNAcentral.
UGGGGAAUUUUGCGCAAUGGGCGUAAGCCUGAACCAGCCAUGCCGCGUGCAGGAAGACGGCCUUCUGGGUUGUAAACUGCUUUUACCGGGGAACAAAAGGCCCAUGCGUGGGAGAUUGCGUGUACCCGGUGAAUAAGCACCGGCUAACUCCGUGCCAGCAGCCGCGGUAAUACGGAGGGUGCGAGCGUUGUCCGGAUUUAUUGGGUUUAAAGGGUGCGCAGGCGGCCUUUUAAGUCAGGGGUGAAAUCCCACGGCUCAACCGUGGAACUGCCCUUGAUACUGGAAGGCUUGAGUACGGUUGAGGUAGGCGGAAUUUAUGGUGUAGCGGUGAAAUGCAUAGAUACCAUAAAGAACACCGAUAGCGAAGGCAGCUUACUGGACCGUCACUGACGCUGAGGCACGAAAGCGUGGGGAGCGAACAGGAUUAGAUACCCGCGUAGUCC